UGCCAGCCGCCGCGGUAAUACGGAGGGGGCUAGCGUUGUUCGGAAUUAUUGGGCGUAAAGCGCGUGUAGGCGGUUCGUUAAGUCUGAUGUGAAAGCCCGGGGCUCAACCCCGGAAGUGCAUUGGAAACUGGCGAACUUGAGUACGGGAGAGGAAAGUGGAAUUCCGAGUGUAGGGGUGAAAUCCGUAGAUAUCGAGAGGAACCCCAGUUGCGAAGGCGGCUCACUGGGCCGGUACCGACGCUGAGGAGCGAAAGCGUGGGGAGCAAACAGGAUUAGAUA
This 279-nucleotide ribosomal RNA is filed under the name uncultured bacterium. RNAcentral describes it as "partial 16S ribosomal RNA". It matches the Rfam family "Bacterial small subunit ribosomal RNA", at positions 506 to 784 of the family's 1533-position model. The record is from RNAcentral.